This 428-nucleotide long non-coding RNA is filed under the name Sorghum bicolor (sorghum). RNAcentral's name for it is "long non-coding RNA (SBIC_LNC001261)". The record is from RNAcentral. Lineage: Eukaryota; Viridiplantae; Streptophyta; Magnoliopsida; Poales; Poaceae.
UUUAAUAUUUUAUAUAUAUGUCUAAACAUUCGAUAUGAUAGAGACUAAAGAUUAUAACCCUGAACCAAAGGGCGCCUAAGCCUCAUACUUCUGUCGUUACACGUGGCAUCCACGAACCCGCAAGUGUGGAAGUGACAGAUGGACGGAUCAAUGACAGAGAGAGUGACAAACCCAAAAAAAAAUUACUGUACUUAAUAUUAAGGGUCUGUUUGGUACUCUUGCUAAAUUUUAACUAGCUAAAAUUAUUUUAGCUACUCUUGGGUGACUAAUGGAACUAAAUUAUUUUAGCUCCUUUUAGUUAAUGUGUUUGGAACUUUAGCUAUUAAAGUGACUAAAAUUUAGUUAGCUAAAAUUUAGCAACCUACUACUUUGAUUCUAUGUUUUGGCAUCCGUCACGAGAAUGGUAGGAGCGAGACAUACGAAUAGGG